GAUGAAGAACGCAGCGAAAUGCGAUAAGUAAUGUGAAUUGCAGAAUUCAGUGAAUCAUCGAAUCUUUGAACGCACCUUGCACUCCUUGGUAUUCCGAGGAGUACGCCUGUUCGAGUGUUAUGAAGCUCUCAAAACGCAAUUGGCUUAAAACCUGAUUGUUGUUUUGGAUUUGAACUUUGCCGUGUUAUAACGGCUGGUUUUAAAAGUAUUAGCUGGUACUAGAACGAAUUGGUUCUACUCAACGUGAUAAUUAUCUGAUCUUUGAGGACAUUCCUUUCACGAGGAAUGGCCAUAGUAAAUUCAAUGGACUGCUUCUAAUCUGGCUUUAAUUCUUUAUUGGAUUAACCACUUUUCAAAUCUGACCUCGAAUCAGGUGGGACUACCCGCUGAACUUAAGCAUAUCAAUAAGCGGAGGA
This 416-nucleotide unclassified non-coding RNA is filed under the name soil metagenome. RNAcentral describes it as "partial contains 5.8S ribosomal RNA, internal transcribed spacer 2, and large subunit ribosomal RNA". The stretch from base 1 to 120 matches the Rfam family "5.8S ribosomal RNA", at positions 35 to 154 of the family's 154-position model. The record is from RNAcentral.